This 69-nucleotide transfer RNA is filed under the name Marmota monax (woodchuck). RNAcentral's name for it is "tRNA.Ala". The record is from RNAcentral. Lineage: Eukaryota; Metazoa; Chordata; Mammalia; Rodentia; Sciuridae.
GGGGUUGGCUCAGUGGCAGAGCGCUUGCCUAGCAUGUGUGAGGCCCUGGGUUCGAUUCUCAGCACUACG